AUCCGUGCAGCUCAGUUGGUAGAGCGCCCGCCCAUCAUGCGGGAUUGCGCAGGUUCGAUUCCCACGGUUG
RNAcentral lists this transfer RNA (70 nucleotides) under Perkinsus marinus ATCC 50983. It matches the Rfam family "tRNA". Rfam says of the family: Transfer RNA (tRNA) molecules are approximately 80 nucleotides in length. Their secondary structure includes four short double-helical elements and three loops (D, anti-codon, and T loops). Further hydrogen bonds mediate the characteristic L-shaped molecular structure. tRNAs have two regions of fundamental functional importance: the anti-codon, which is responsible for specific mRNA codon recognition, and the 3' end, to which the tRNAs corresponding amino acid is attached (by aminoacyl-tRNA synthetases). tRNAs cope with the degeneracy of the genetic code in two manners: having more than one tRNA (with a specific anti-codon) for a particular amino acid; and 'wobble' base-pairing, i.e. permitting non-standard base-pairing at the 3rd anti-codon position. Lineage: Eukaryota; Perkinsozoa; Perkinsida; Perkinsidae. The record is from Rfam by way of RNAcentral.